This 486-nucleotide ribosomal RNA is filed under the name uncultured bacterium. RNAcentral's name for it is "bacterial SSU rRNA". It matches the Rfam family "Bacterial small subunit ribosomal RNA", at positions 30 to 537 of the family's 1533-position model. The record is from RNAcentral.
AUUGAACGCUGGCGGCAUGCGUAACACAUGCAAGUCGAACGGUUGACUGUGCUUGCACAGUUGAUAGUGGCGGACGGGUGAGUAAAGCGUAGGAAUCAGUCCUGAAGAGGGGGAUAGCCUGGGGAAACCUGGGAUAAUACCGCAUAAACUCGAGAGAGAAAAGCAGGGGACCGCAAGGCCUUGUGCUUUAGGAUGAGCCUACGUCAGAUUAGCUAGUUGGUGGGGUAAAGGCCUACCAAGGCGAUGAUCUGUAGCUGGUCUGAGAGGACGAACAGCCACACUGGGACUGAGACACGGCCCAGACUCCUACGGGAGGCAGCAGUGGGGAAUAUUGGACAAUGGGGGAAACCCUGACGCAGCAACGCCGCGUGAAGGAGAAGGCCUUCGGGUUGUAAACUUCUUUGAUAGGGGACGAGUAAUGACGGUACCCUAAAAACAAGACCACGGCUAACUACGUGCCAGCAGCCGCGGUAAACUACGUCUCUA